UAAAGGCAGUGCUUUAAGGCCUGACUUUUAAGUCAUGAGGUUCAUCUUUUCAUACGCAAUCCAUGCUGGGGGUCUUUUGGCCAGAAAUAGAUCCGGAAAUGUUCGAAUUUCUCCUCUUCUUUUUAUACGACCGCAAAUUUUGAAAAAAUUUUCGUCGUAUAUUGCUAUCACGUUGGCGUCGUCGUCGUCGUCGUCGUCGUCGUCGUCGUCGUCGUCGUCGUCGUCGUCGUCCGAAUACUUUUAGUUUUCGCACUCUAACUUUAGUAAAAGUGAAUAGAAAUCUAUGAAAUUUUAACACAAGGUUUAUGACCAUAAAAGGAAGGCUGGUAUUGAUUUUGGGAGUUUUGGUCCCAACAUUUUAGGAAUUAGGGGCCAAAAAGGGCCCAAAUAAGCAUUUUCUUGGUUUUCGCACUAUAACUUUAGUUUAAGUUAAUAGAAAUCUAUGAAAUUUUGACACAAGGUUUAUGACCACAAAAGAAAGGUUGGGAUUGAUUUUGGGAGUUUUGGUUUCAACAGUUUAGGAAUUAGGGGCCAAAAAAGGGCCCAAAUAAGCAUUAUUCUUGGUUUUCACACAAUAACUUUAGUUAAAGUAAAUAGAAAUCAAUGAAAUUUAAACACAAUGUUUAUGACCACAAAAGGAAGGUUGGUAUCGAUUUUGGGAGUUUUGGUCCCAACAGUUAAGGAAAAAGGGGCCCAAAGGGUCCAAAAUUAAACUUUGUUUGAUUUCAUCAAAAUUGAAUAAUUGGGGUUCUUUAAUAUGCCGAAUCUAACUGUAUGUAGGUUCUUAAUUUUUGGUCCCGUUUUCAAAUUGGUCUACAUUAAGGUCCAAAGGGUCCAAAAUUAAACUUAGUUUGAUUUUAACAAAAAUUGAAACCUUGGUGUUCUUUGAUAUGCUGAAUCUAAAAAUGUACUUAGAUUUUUGAUUAUUGGCCCAGUUUUCAAGUUGGCCCAAAUCGAGGUCCAAAAUUAAACAUUGUUUGAUUUCAUCAAAAAUUGAAUAAUUGGGGUUCUUUGAUAUGCCAAAUCUAACUGUGUAUGUAGAUUCUUAAUUUUUGGUCCAGUUUUAAAAUUGGUCUAAAUUAAAGUGCAAAGGGUCCAAAAUUAAACUAAGUUUGAUUUUAACAAAAAUUAAAUUCUUGGGCCUCUUUGAUAUGCUGAAUCUAAACAUGUACUUAGAUUUUUGAUUAUGGGCCCAGUUUUCAAGUUGGUCCAAAUCAGGAUCUAAAAUUAUUAUAUUAAGUAUUGUGCAAUAGCAAGUCUUUUCAAUUGCACAGUAUUGUGCAAUGGCAAGAAAUAUCAAAUUUCACAAUAUUGUGAAAUUGCCAAUUUUUUUUUUAAUUAAGAGUUAUCUUUCUUUGUCCAGUAUAGUAAGCAAGAAAUAUCUGCAAGAAUUUUUUUUAAUUGGAGUUAUCUUUCUUUGUACAGAAUCAACUUAAAUCUUUGUUAUAUACAAUAUACAAUGUAUAUUCACUUUUUAUUACCAACUGAUAAAUUUAAAUUAUCUUUACCAUUCAGUGAUAACAAGCAGUUUUUUUACAUCUUAAUAUUUUAUGAUGUAUUUAAAUGAGUAGUAAUUGUUGCAAACUCCAUUAGAAUAUUUUAAUUGAAAUUAGUUUUGGAAUAAGGGAAAAGGGGAUGUGAUUAAAAAAUUGGGUUCAAUUUUUCUCAUUUGAAAUUUCAUAAAUAAAAAGAAAAUUUCUUCAAACAUUUUUUUGAGAGGAUUAAUAUUCAACAGCAUAGUGAAUUGCUCUAAGAGAAAACAAAAAUUUUAAGUUCAUUUGAAUACAUUCAUUCUGUGUCAGAAACCUAUGCUGUGUCAACUAUUUAUUUAUUAUGGGCCCAGUUUUUAAGUUGGUCCAAAUCAGGAUCUAUAAUUAUUAUAUUAAGUAUUGUACAAUAGCAAGUCUUUUUAAUUGCACAGUAUUGCGCAAUGGCAAGAAAUAUCUAAUUGCACAAUAUUGUGAAAUAGCAAAUUUUUUUUUUAAUUAGAGUUAUCUUUCUUUGUCCAGAGUAGUAAGCAAGAAAUAUCUAAUUGCACAAUAUUGUGCAAUAGCAAGAAUUUUUUUUAAUUGGAGUUAUCUUUCUUUGUCCAGAAUCAACUUAAAUCUUUGUUAUAUACACUAUACAAUGUAUAUUCACUUUUUACUACCAACUGAUAAAUUUUAAUAAUCUUUACCAUUCAGUGAUAACAAGCAGUUUUUUUACAUCUUAAUAUUUUAUGAUGUAUUUAAAUGAGUAGUUAUUAUUGUUGCAAACUCCAUUAGAAUAUUUUAAUUGAGAUUAGUUUUGUAAUAAGGAAAAGGGGGAUGUGAUUAAAAAAUUGGGUUCAAUUUUUCUCAUUUGAAAUUUUAUAAAUAAAAAGAAAAUUUCUUCAAACAUUUUUUUGAGAGGAUUAAUAUUCAACAGCAUAGUGAAUUGCUCUAAGAGAAAACAAAAAAUUUUAAGUUCAUUAGAACACAUUCAUUCUGUGUCAAAAACCUAUGCUGUGUCAACUAUUUAAUCACAAUCCAAAUUUAGAGCUGAAUCCAGCUUGAAUGUUGUGUCCAUACUUGCCCCAACUGUUCAGGGUUCAACCUCUGCGGUCGUAUAAAGCUACGCCCUGCGGAGCAUCUGGUUAUGGUAUGAUAUGGUUUUUGUUUCUUUCAUUUACAUUGGGGACUAAAGAAACGAUCAGUGUGUAUUGUUCGUUUUAUAGAACUUGUUAUAAGUGUGUAUUUUGCAUUAUAAGCAGUCAACCUGACUACAAACUAUCAAUAGUUGUAUAUUCCGUGUGGAAAGAGGUCGGGUCAAUUUCAAGUGUUAUCUGACAUCUAAAGAUUCUUUAAUUAGUUCAGACGUUGAUAUAACAAUGAAAAGUCGACUGAACAUGAUUAAUAUUGCAUCUUCAAUAAUUCAAAGCGGAAUUCGGUUUAUGAACGAGAAACCGUAAAGCGUUUUCAAUUUCGGUAUUAGUUAUGUAUGUUAUCUACGUAUUAUCCUGGUUCCCGGUACUACGUUCCGGGUAUUAGCUAUUUGAUAUAUUUGAUGUGUAACAUUACAAUCGGGUACCAGCCAAUCUACGUGUGUAUGUGUACAUGAUUUACCGCCAAAAUGACCGACUUAAAAAAUAGUCCAUAAACUUUCCGUAUAAUGAUAUGCAAAUUCAUAAUUAAUCGUAACUUUUUUUUAUCUUUGUAUAAUUAAUAUAACAAAAUGGAUUCCACAAAAUUGAAAAUAGCAUUAUUUUACGAGGAUUUCUCAUAUUUUUUUCACAUCCGGCGCAGUAAUACGUAUGUUUUGAAGAAGCUCGAAGAAUUUGACAAAGUGAAUUGAGAAGGAAACGGAUAGAUACACGUUCUUACUAUCAGGGCACAAACCCACUUUAAAGAGACUUGUCUACUGCCAUACCCAUCCUAUUUUCAUGCACCAUUUGCAAGCAAGAGACUGAAUGGUUUGCAAAAUUAAAAAUCAGGACGGUGUCCAAUUAAAACAAAAGAACUAAACUGGAUGAAUAUUGUAGGAGAAAUCUAGACAUGCUAGAGGAAAGUUUUGAUUUGUGAAAUUGGUUUUCCUGAAAAGUCAUUCAUCCUAGCCUGCAGAAAGGAACUAUAACUGUCCACCACCAACUGACGAGCUAAUGUUGAGCUUCACAUAUGGAAUUACUCAAAUACCAUCAAUGUCUAUGUUUUCAGCACAAAUUUCACAAUUUAUGACACAGCUGUGCUUUUUUUUAUACCGUUAAAGAGUUGUAUACCAAAUUUUAUUUUUUUAUCAAUAAAUAUAUAUUAUAUUAA
This is a long non-coding RNA of Mytilus trossulus (common blue mussel), 3773 nucleotides long. RefSeq lists it as uncharacterized. The record is from RefSeq and is a predicted model, not a curated record. The transcript is spliced from 2 exons. Lineage: Eukaryota; Metazoa; Mollusca; Bivalvia; Mytilida; Mytilidae.